GGGGAGGUAGCGAAGCGGUUAAACGCAACAGACUGUAAAUCUGUCGGCCUCAGGCCUUCGGUGGUUCGAAUCCGCCCCUCCCCA
This 84-nucleotide transfer RNA is filed under the name Pseudomonadota bacterium. RNAcentral's name for it is "tRNA-Tyr". It matches the Rfam family "tRNA". Rfam says of the family: Transfer RNA (tRNA) molecules are approximately 80 nucleotides in length. Their secondary structure includes four short double-helical elements and three loops (D, anti-codon, and T loops). The record is from RNAcentral. Lineage: Bacteria; Pseudomonadati; Pseudomonadota. RNAcentral also lists the same sequence under 2 other names.